RNAcentral lists this long non-coding RNA (448 nucleotides) under Capsicum annuum. Its description in RNAcentral is "long non-coding RNA (CANN_LNC015912)". Lineage: Eukaryota; Viridiplantae; Streptophyta; Magnoliopsida; Solanales; Solanaceae. The record is from RNAcentral.
UGUAAAGGGUAGUAUGUUGCGAGUUCCUUUCAUAUUAUUUUGAGCUUAAGUAUGGUGAAUUACACUUGUGUUUCAUGUUUUAUUUAUGAGGAAUGUCUAGAGUUAUUUGGAGCUUAAGUAAGAAUAAAAAUAGAAUCAAGAAACCAAAAAAAUAAGGAUAGAUCAACAUCGUAACACAUUGCAAAACAAGUGCAAAAAGGCCAAAGGUAUUGUUCCCUGCACCACUGUAGCAAAGCAAGAAGUGGAACAAAUCUAGUAGGCUUGGAUAACCUCUUACUCCACUCACCCAAGGAAAGCGGUGGCACAAGAAAUUGUAACUUUCUGGAAUUUUAUUUGUUCCUUAUGCCACCACACCGGUUUGGACAGUGGAGCGAGCCGGGAUCUAUAUUAACUUGAUUAUGAUUAGAUUUAAUGUUCUAUAGGUUACUAGACUCUAUAAAUAUCUCCC